This 32-nucleotide ribosomal RNA is filed under the name Hypotrachyna nepalensis. RNAcentral's name for it is "partial 18S ribosomal RNA". Lineage: Eukaryota; Fungi; Ascomycota; Lecanoromycetes; Lecanorales; Parmeliaceae. The record is from RNAcentral.
UACGGUUUUCGUAGGUGACCUGCGGAAGGACA